UGCCCUGGUAACAAAGACCUUUAGGUCAAG
Molecule: small RNA, 30 nt
Filed under: Bombyx mori (domestic silkworm)
Lineage: Eukaryota; Metazoa; Arthropoda; Insecta; Lepidoptera; Bombycidae
Description: ovarian small RNA-33755
Source: RNAcentral